UGUAGAGGGUGCUAGUCCCACUUCCUCUAGCAGUAACUUCUAGGAAGCCGACUGAGCAAGCCCUGUGAAGUUUCUUGGAUUCCAUUUUGUGGCCUGAAGGAGAGACUCUUGAAAGUGUGACAGCAAUUCAGCAGAGAGGACAACUAGCAAGUUUAGGACCUGUGCUUUUUAGGAUCUCUUCAUCUACAUUUUUUUCUACUGCCUCCAGCAAGGGUCAUCAUGACUCCCUAUGAAGGUUGUUCAUGUCUCAGCCUUGAACAAGAUUUUCUGGACCCAGUUAAAUCACAGGAUGAGGUUAUUUUACUGAUUCCCUUGGAUGAUUUGGAAGAUGGUGUGGAAGAAAUAAUAGAAAUAUAUGAAGAAAUAGGGGAUAAUGAUGAAGAGGAUGGUGAAGAUGAGGAAGAAGAAGAAACAGAUGGUAUUGAGCAUGAGGAGUAGAAUUGAGAAAUAAAAAAGAAGGAGGGGAGGAGGAAGAGGAGGAGAAAAAGAAGAAAGGGAAGAGGAUAAACGGGAGGAGGACAUGGAAAAGGAGAAUCAAAUAUCUCCUUGCCUUCAAUUUAUAUUCCUCCUCUUAUUCUCCUCUUUCUCCUUUCUUGUCCUUAUCCUUUCUUGUUCUCUUCUCUGAACCAGGGCAUGCUCACUGGGGGUUUUGUUGGGGUAGAUAAAUGUUACUCCUUGAAAUACAAUGUUUAUUAGUUUUAGUUUUGCCAUCUACUAUUUUCUUCAGAAAAUAUUUUGGAAAAACUAUGUGAUGUUUUAGGAUUCCUUUAAAUAUU
Molecule: non-coding RNA, 776 nt
Organism: Peromyscus maniculatus bairdii (prairie deer mouse)
Lineage: Eukaryota; Metazoa; Chordata; Mammalia; Rodentia; Cricetidae
Source: RefSeq, a predicted model, not a curated record